ACUGCGUGGAUGGUGACUCUGGGAAUAGACGCUUGAUUUGAGCUGCAGCAUGGAGACCCCGAAGUUUUAAAUAUUUCCACUCUCCCAAAUUUGUCUCAAGAUCUACUAUAGACAUUUGUUUUCAUCAUCUUACCAGUGCAAUCGUAGUGCAACAGAGAGAUGUUUUGCUGAAAGACCUGUCUGAUUAUAUGAGAAGCCUGUACUUUCAAUUCUUAUGAAAUUAUGUGAACAGUUUUUUAUGCCAAAUUUAUAUCAAAAUAUUGAGUAAAAUCAACUUUCUAAAAAUUUUCAUCCACAUUGGAAACACCUUCUUCUACUUUUAUUUUUCAGUAUUUUAAACAUAUUUUCUUCAAUGUGAAGUUCUGGCAAGAAUCAAGUUGCCGUUUGCUCAGUCAGCACUUGGGAAACUUUCUUCUAAAACUGAGACAUUCUCCACUGAGAUUCCCAUCUGUUAAAAUUCUAUGGAGAAACACAUAACUGGGCAGCUCGAGAAUUUCAUCUGCACUGUGUGGAAAUUGUUGAUCUUUUUUAGUCCUGAGAAUUUCGUCUGGAACAAAGUGCACACAUGCACAGAGUGAAUUCUGGCCAGCUCCAUUGAACAGUGUGUGAUGAGGAGUGGGGGAGGAAGACACAGAUCAGGAGAUACUAUUACAGUGCUGGGGACCAGGAACAACCAUCCAUGCCUUUGUCACUGCAGGCUAUUGAUACAUACUAUUAAAAACUACAUAAGACAACCCAGCUGGAAAUCAGAGCUGAAGAAUAAUAAACCAGCUUGAGUACCUGUUGUAACUGAACCCC
This 798-nucleotide long non-coding RNA is filed under the name Anser cygnoides (Swan goose). RNAcentral describes it as "lncRNA (ENSACDG00005012005.1)". Lineage: Eukaryota; Metazoa; Chordata; Aves; Anseriformes; Anatidae. The record is from RNAcentral.